This 1712-nucleotide unclassified non-coding RNA is filed under the name Hevea brasiliensis (rubber tree). The record is from RNAcentral. Lineage: Eukaryota; Viridiplantae; Streptophyta; Magnoliopsida; Malpighiales; Euphorbiaceae.
AAACCUUUUCUCUUGGGAAGUUAGGAGCUCUGAGAUCCAUCUGUCCUUAAUUUCCACUCUCCCUCUUCCCAUACCCUCGAUUUUCUGGGCAAACAAACGGAACUUAGCGUUCCUUAAGUUAUUUGGUAUUUGGGUUCAUUUUGUUUAUGAAACUAGUAUUUUUCCUCAGAACUUGUUAGGCCAAGCUAUUGGUAGUGGGAUAGAUUUUACUAGUAGUUGAAUGUUUCAUUUUAGUCAUUAUAUUUUAAUUUAUUUCAAUAAAAUCACUAUCUUUUAUUUUUUGUUCACUUCUAGUCACUAAGAACAGAAUCCUAUAGAAUCUCUGAUAAAACUCAUAUGUGGUGUGAUUUAUGCCAGUUUAAAUUCUAAAAAUAUAUAUAUAUAUUUUUGCCUGGUCAAAUUAAUUUUUUUUUGGUUUUUUGGGAGUCUAAAAAUAGAGAUUAAUAAAUGUAAUGAGAGAUAAAAUUUAUUUUUUUUCUUUGGUUUUUUAAUCUUACUUGGCAAUGAGAUAAAUAUUUUACGAAAGACACGCCAUAUGGGAGUUUAUCGGAUUUUGAUCCGAGUGACUGCUAGCAAAUAAAAAAUAGAAGACGAGUGAUUAUUGAAACAAAUUAAAGUAUAAUGACCGAAAUGAAAUAAUUAACAAAUUUGAAUGACUACUGAGGAAAUUUAUCUAUGAUAGUGUGAAUGAUAGAAUUCUAUGGAAUGGGACAUUGGGAAGUCUGGGUUUUUAUGUUCAAACCCAUUUCAGCGUAUUCAUUCAGUUGCAAAGUUAAUAUCAUGAUAAAACAUUUGUAUUUUUGUGGUUACUAAUGUGGAUGUGUGGCCUUUGGAUAGAUUGAAGUUUGAAAGCUGAAGGUAUUCGUAUUUAGGAUGCUGCUUGGAUGAAAUUGAAAAAUAAAAUAAGUUAUCUUUAUUAACAUAUCUGAAGUAUUCUUCCACAGGGCACUUAACCGGACUCUCAUACAAGUUCCCUCAGCCUCUUCGUCUGAUCACAGAGAGAGUCAAUUUUUAAUCUGCAAUAUUCCUUCAUUAAUUACUCUAGAUUAUUUAAUUUCCAUGUAAUGAUAUUCCUUUCCUUGCUCCUUGUUUCUUCUUCUUUCUUUCCUCCUUUCUUUCACUGCUACAUUCACUUAUUGAGCCAAAUGUGGACUCAUUAUGAUCUUUGAAUUGUUUUUUAUUAAUUAUAUAAUAAGUACUCUUUUACCCACCAGCUCUAUUGAAUUGUCUGAAUGUUCCUCCAUAGUGAUAAGAAGUUGAAAAGUUCACUACUUUAAUUCCUGUCAUUAUUCAGCAUUGCUGAUAAAUGAGCAUUGAUGAGUAUCCAUUUUGUCUUCUUUAAGGCAUACAGAAUGACAUCUAUGCAGUAAUGAAAUAAAAUGUUUAAAAAUCUUGAAGUAAGAGUUUUAAAACCUACCAUGAGAGGAACCAGAUUUUCUUACAAGUUCAAACACUGUGGGAUAUAAAUUGGAAGUGGAGUUAUUGUCACGUUGAUCACACUACAUGAAAUCAAAACAAUUCACGCUGCCUGAGAAGUCAUUUAAUUUAUAAAAUUGGAUGGUCAACUUCAUGCUGGGUUUAGUUACAGGGUUAAAGACAUUUCACAUUUUUCUGUUUAUGAUUCUUGAUCAUGAUUUUUUUCUUUACAUUUCUCUUUUGAGUUGAUUGUUUUCUUAAUGCUGUGCAAGUGGCAGUGAAGCAGGCUUGCUACA